UCCGGUUUGACACCGGCAGUCUCGCUAGAGUCCUCAGCAUUACCUGUUAGUAACUAACGACAAGGGUUGCGCUCGUUAAGGGACUUAACCCGACGCUUCACAGCACGAGCUGACGACAGCCAUGCAGCACCUGUGAUGGUUCCACUCUUGCGAGCGUCAUUGAUGUUUCCACCAACUAAUCCCAUCAUGUCAAACCCAGGUAAGGUUCUUCGCGUUGCUUCGAAUUGAGCCACAUGCUCCACCGCUUGUGUGAGCCCCCGUCAAUUUCUUUGAGUUUUAGCCUUGCGACCGUACUCCCCAGGCGGUACGCUUACCAAUUUCUCUACAAUCCCGAUGGCGUCAGAGCCACCGUGAUUCAGCGUACAUCGUUUAGGGCGUGGACUAC
RNAcentral lists this unclassified non-coding RNA (385 nucleotides) under uncultured Phycisphaeraceae bacterium. RNAcentral's name for it is "contains 16S-23S intergenic spacer region". The record is from RNAcentral. Lineage: Bacteria; Pseudomonadati; Planctomycetota; Phycisphaerae; Phycisphaerales; Phycisphaeraceae.